CAGUGCUGUGUGCAGUGUCCUACUCAGAAAGGUACUGAUCACUUAGAGGACAAGUAGUCACUGCCUUUCUGGGUGGACUGAUGCUCAACAGGAAGAACCUG
Equus caballus (horse) is the source of this 101-nucleotide microRNA precursor. The record is from Ensembl. NCBI's taxonomy places the organism in Eukaryota, Metazoa, Chordata, Mammalia, Perissodactyla, Equidae.